GAUGGCGACCGGCAAGCGGGUGCGGAACACGUACAGAACCUUCCUUCGAGCGGGGAAUAGCCCAGAGAAAUUUGGAUUAAUACCCCAUAGAACUAUGAAGUGGCAUCACUUUAUACUUAAAGAUUUAUCACUUGAAGAUGGCUGUGCGGCUGAUUAGGUAGUUGGCGGGGUAACGGCCCACCAAGCCUGCGAUCAGUAACUGGUGUGAGAGCACGACCAGUCACACGGGCACUGAGACACGGGCCCGACUCCUACGGGAGGCAGCAGUAAGGAAUAUUGGUCAAUGGACGAAAGUCUGAACCAGCCAUGCCGCGUGGAGGAUGAAGGCCCUCUGGGUUGUAAACUUCUUUUAUAUGGGACGAAAAAGGGUCUUUCUAGAUCAACUGACGGUACCAUGUGAAUAAGCACCGGCUAACUCCGUGCCAGCAGCCGCGGUAAUACGGAGGGUGCAAGCGUUAUCCGGAUUCACUGGGUUUAAAGGGUGCGUAGGUGGGUUGGUAAGUCAGUGGUGAAAUCUCCAAGCUUAACUUGGAAACUGCCAUUGAUACUAUCAGGUCUUGAAUCA
Molecule: ribosomal RNA, 565 nt
Filed under: uncultured soil bacterium
Lineage: Bacteria
Description: bacterial SSU rRNA
Rfam family: Bacterial small subunit ribosomal RNA
Source: RNAcentral